This 440-nucleotide ribosomal RNA is filed under the name uncultured bacterium. Its description in RNAcentral is "partial 16S ribosomal RNA". It matches the Rfam family "Bacterial small subunit ribosomal RNA", at positions 338 to 795 of the family's 1533-position model. The record is from RNAcentral.
CCUACGGGCGGCAGCAGUAGGGAAUAUUGCUCAAUGGGGGAAACCCUGAAGCAGCAACGCCGCGUGGAGGAUGAAGGUUUUCGGAUUGUAAACUCCUUUUGUUAGAGAAGAUAAUGACGGUAUCUAACGAAUAAGCACCGGCUAACUCCGUGCCAGCAGCCGCGGUAAUACGGAGGGUGCAAGCGUUACUCGGAAUGACUGGGCGUAAAGCGCGCGUAGGCGGGAUAGCAAGUCAGAGGUGAAAUCCUAUGGCUUAACCAUAGAACUGCAUUUGAAACUGUUAUUCUAGAGUAUGGGAGAGGUAGGUGGAAUGUAUGGUGUAGGGGUAAAAUCCGUAGAGAUCAAGAAGAAUACUCAUUGCGAAGGCGACCUGCUAGAACAUAACUGACGCUGAUGCGCGAAAGCGUGGGGAGCAAACAGGAUUAGAUACCCCAGUAGUC